RNAcentral lists this long non-coding RNA (335 nucleotides) under Olea europaea (common olive). RNAcentral's name for it is "long non-coding RNA (OEUR_LNC014492)". Lineage: Eukaryota; Viridiplantae; Streptophyta; Magnoliopsida; Lamiales; Oleaceae. The record is from RNAcentral.
UGAACCUUUAAAAAAAAUAAUAAAUAAAAUAAAAUUCUUUGACCGGAACUCGAGAACAUAAGCUAACAGACUUUCCUCAAAGUAUAUGGAGAAAAAAGUAAAGAAUUCUUGUAUUUACAAAUCCAAAGUAGUCUAUUACAGUUAACAGCUCAAAAUCAAAUUAUUUUAUGGAUUGUUUCAUUUUCUAGUUUGCUUCUGUGGGAGACUUUUUGGCUUCAUCGGUAAUAGAUUCAACAAUGCACUCCACCUUUUCCUCAGCUUCCUGAACCUGCAGAUUUAGUUUAAUUAGUCAUUAGAUGGUUCAUACAAAUUAAAACUGAGUAGUAGCCCUAGAG